AUACGUAGGGGGCGAGCGUUGUCCGGAAUGAUUGGGCGUAAAGGGCGCGUAGGCGGCCCGGUAAGUCUGGAGUGAAAGUCCUGUUUUUAAGAUGGGAAUUGCUUUGGAUACUGUCGGGCUUGAGUGCAGGAGAGGUAAGUGGAAUUCCCAGUGUAGCGGUGAAAUGCGUAGAGAUUGGGAGGAACACCAGUGGCGAAGGCGACUUACUGGACUGUAACUGACGCUGAGGCGCGAAAGUGUGGGGAGCAAACAGGAUUAGAUACCCUGGUAGUCCACACCGUAAACGAUGAAUGCUAGGUGUAGGGGGUAUCGACCCCUUCUGUGCCGCAGUCAACACAAUAAGCAUUCCGCCUGGGGAGUACGGCCGCAAGGUUGAAACUCAAAGGAAUUGACGGGG
This 397-nucleotide ribosomal RNA is filed under the name uncultured bacterium. Its description in RNAcentral is "partial 16S ribosomal RNA". It matches the Rfam family "Bacterial small subunit ribosomal RNA", at positions 523 to 918 of the family's 1533-position model. The record is from RNAcentral.